AGUGAACGCUGGCGGUAGGCCUAACACAUGCAAGUCGAACGGCAGCACAGUAAGAGCUUGCUCUUACGGGUGGCGAGUGGCGGACGGGUGAGGAAUACAUCGGAAUCUACUUUUUUGUGGGGGCUAACGUAGGGAAACUUACGCUAAUACCGCAUACGACCUACGGGUGAAAGCAGGGGAUCUUCGGACCUUGCGCGAUUGAAUGAGCCUAUGUCGGAUUAGCUAGUUGGCGGGGUAAAGGCCCACCAAGGCGACGAUCCGUAGCUGGUCUGAGAGGAUGAUCAGCCACACGGGAACUGAGACACGGUCCAGAAUCCUACGGGAGGCAGCAGUGGGGAAUAUUGGACAAGGGGCGCAAGCCUGAUCCAGCCAUACCGCGUGGGUGAAGAAGGCCUUCGGGUUGUAAAGCACGUUUGUUGGGAAAGAAAAGCAGCAGGUUAAUACCCCGCUGUUCUGACGGUACCCAAAGAAUAAGCACCGGCUAACUUCGG
Molecule: ribosomal RNA, 491 nt
Filed under: uncultured bacterium
Lineage: Bacteria
Description: partial 16S ribosomal RNA
Rfam family: Bacterial small subunit ribosomal RNA
Source: RNAcentral